CGUUCUCGCUCACGCUCUCCGGAGUCUCGUUCUCACCGCCGCCAUCGCCACCAGCGCACCCCAUCCCCAUCGCCACCCCGAAAACGUCACCGCUAUGAGACCGAAGAAGGCAGAGAUAAAGAAAAGGAAAGAGAAAGAGAGAGGGAUAGACAAAGGGCAGCUGUGUCAGAUUUCCUGGAUGGGAUCGCAAGGGAGCAGAUGGAGAGGAUUGGGAAUAACAAUACUAGUGGUGAUGGUGGUGGUGAAGGAGGAGAGGGAGAAGUAGUGGUAGAAGGAUC
RNAcentral lists this unclassified non-coding RNA (278 nucleotides) under Hevea brasiliensis (rubber tree). Lineage: Eukaryota; Viridiplantae; Streptophyta; Magnoliopsida; Malpighiales; Euphorbiaceae. The record is from RNAcentral.